RNAcentral lists this ribosomal RNA (48 nucleotides) under Calendula officinalis (pot marigold). Its description in RNAcentral is "partial 26S ribosomal RNA". The record is from RNAcentral. Lineage: Eukaryota; Viridiplantae; Streptophyta; Magnoliopsida; Asterales; Asteraceae.
UGCUUCGACCGCAACCCCAGGUCAGGCGGAACUGCCCGUUGAGUUUAA